GAUGUAGUGUGAGGUCAUUUAUUUGUUGAUUUUUUUCUUCUUUUGAGGAAUGAACUCCAUGCAAUGAAUUUUUCUCUUAGUACUGCUUUCAUGGUGUCCCAGAGAUUUUGAUAUGUUGAGUCUGUGUUCUCAUUUACCUCUAAGAAUUUUUCAGUCUCCUUUUUUUUUUUUGAGAGAGAGAGAGAGAAGAGAAGAGAGAGAGAAUUUUAAUAUUUAUUUUUCAGUUUUUGUUGGACACAACAUCAUUGUUUGUAUGUGGUGUUGAGGAUCGAACCCGGGCUGCACACAUGCCAGGCGAGCGCGCUACCACUUGAGCCACAUCCCCAGCCCUCAGUCUCCUCCUUGAUGUCUUCUAUAACCCAUUGUUCAUUCAGUAGCAUAUUGUUCAGUCUCCGUGUGAUGCAGAAAUUUUUAUUUUUUAUUUUGUCGUUUAUUUCCAAGUUCUUUACAUUAUGAUCUGAUAAAAUGCAUGGUAGUAUCUCUACUUUUUUGUAUUUGCUAAGAGUUGCUUUGUGGCAUAGUAUAUGGUCUAUUUUAGAGAAGGAUCCAUGUGCUGCUGAGAAGAAAGUGUAUCCGCUUGAUGCCGGUUGAAAUAUUCUAUAUCUGUCAGUUAAGUCUAAGUUAUUAAUUGUGUUAUUGAGCUCUAUAGUUUCUUUAUUCAAUUUUUGUUUGGAGGAUCUAUCCAGUGGUGAGAGAGGUGUGUUAAAGUCCCCCAAGAUUAUUGUGUUGUGGUCAGUUUGACUCUUGAACUUGAGAAGAGUUUGCUUGAUGAACAUAGCUGCACCAUUGUUUGCAGCAUAUAUAUUUAUGAUUGUUAUGUCUUGUUGGUGUAUGGUUCACUUGAACAGUAUAUAAUGUCCAUCUUUAUCCCUUUUGAUUAACUUUGGCUUGAAGUCUACUUUAUUUGAUAUGAGUAUGGAAACCCCUGCUUGCUUCCGCAGUCCAUUUGAGUGGUAUGAUUUUUCCCAGCCUUUCACCUUCAGUCUGUGUAUAUCUUUUCCCAUCAAAUGAGUCUCUAGUAGGCAGCAUAUUGUUGGAUAUUUUUUAAAAUCCAAUCUGCUAGCCUGUCUUUUGAUUGGUGAGUUUAAGCCAUUAACAUUUAAGGAUACUAUUGAGAUAUGGUUUGUAUUUCCAGCCAUAUUUGUUAUUUAACUUGACUUGGUUUUCCUCUUUUAUUAGUUUUUCCUUUAGUGUACUACCUUCCUCUGCUGGUUUUCAUUGUUGUUUUUCAGUUCCUCUUCAUGAAAUAUUUUGCCAAGGAUGUUUUGUAGUGCCAGUUUUCUAGCUGUAAAUUCUUUUAACUUUUGUUUAUUGUGGAAGGUUUUUAUUUCAUCUUCAAAUCUGAAGCUUAAUUUUGCUGGAUACAAGAUUCUUGGUUGGCAUCUAUUAUCUUUCAGGGCUUGAAAUAUGUUGUUUCAGGAUCUUCUAGCUUUCAGGGUUUCUGUUGAAAAAUCUGCCAUUAUUCUAAUUAGUUUACCCUUAUAUGUAAUCUGAUUUCUUUCUCUUGGGGCUUUUAAAAUUCUCUUCUUGUUCUGUAUGUUGGGCAUUUUCAUUAUAAUGUGUCUUGGUGUGGAUCUGUUGUGAUUCUGCACGUUCAGCAUCCUGUAGGCUUCUUGGAUUUGGAUUUCUGUUUCAUUCUUCAUGUCUGGAAAGUUUUCUGGUAGUAUUUCAUUGAACAGAUUGCUCAUUCCUUUGGUUUGGACCUCUAUGCCUUCCUCUAUCCCAAUAACUCUUAAAUUUGGUCUCUUUAUGCUAUCCCAUAUUUAUUGGAUGUUCUACUAGUGGUUUCUUAUUUUUGCUGUGCUAGCUACAUUCUUUUCAAGAUG
RNAcentral lists this long non-coding RNA (1826 nucleotides) under Marmota monax (woodchuck). Lineage: Eukaryota; Metazoa; Chordata; Mammalia; Rodentia; Sciuridae. The record is from RNAcentral.